Molecule: transfer RNA, 73 nt
Filed under: Chloroflexota bacterium
Lineage: Bacteria; Bacillati; Chloroflexota
Description: tRNA-Asp
Rfam family: tRNA
About the family: Transfer RNA (tRNA) molecules are approximately 80 nucleotides in length. Their secondary structure includes four short double-helical elements and three loops (D, anti-codon, and T loops).
Source: RNAcentral
GGCCCCGUAGUGUAGCGGUUAACACGCCGGCCUGUCAAGCCGGAGAGCGCGGGUUCGAAUCCCGUCGGGGUCG